Molecule: ribosomal RNA, 159 nt
Filed under: uncultured bacterium
Lineage: Bacteria
Description: partial 16S ribosomal RNA
Rfam family: Bacterial small subunit ribosomal RNA
Source: RNAcentral
UGAGGAAUAUUGGUCAAUGGGCGGAAGCCUGAACCAGCCAAGUCGCGUGAGGGAAGAAGGCCCUGCGGGUCGCAGACCUCUUUGGACGGGGGAGCAAGGCCGCGGACGUGUCCGCGGAAGGAGAGUACCCGUAGAACAAGCAUCGGCUAACUCCGUGCC